RNAcentral lists this ribosomal RNA (105 nucleotides) under Escherichia coli. The record is from RNAcentral. Lineage: Bacteria; Pseudomonadati; Pseudomonadota; Gammaproteobacteria; Enterobacterales; Enterobacteriaceae.
UAGCGCGGUGGUCCCACCUGACCCCAUGCCGAACUCAGAAGUGAAACGCCGUAGCGCCGAUGGUAGUGUGGGGUUUUCCCAUGCGAGAGUAGGGAACUGCCAGGC